UAAAAAAACUUUUUAUCCAAAGACAGUAGGGGCUUAUGCUUAAUAAUCCUACCGAGGAAAGAUAUUAAAUAUGUAAUAUAACUUUCCUCAUGGAAAGUUUUUUUAU
This 106-nucleotide small RNA is filed under the name bovine gut metagenome. RNAcentral's name for it is "Ribosomal protein L10 leader". It matches the Rfam family "Ribosomal protein L10 leader". Rfam says of the family: This family is a putative r-protein leader autoregulatory structure found in B. subtilis and other low-GC Gram-positive bacteria. The record is from RNAcentral.